This 210-nucleotide ribosomal RNA is filed under the name Triticum aestivum (bread wheat). RNAcentral's name for it is "partial small subunit ribosomal RNA". Lineage: Eukaryota; Viridiplantae; Streptophyta; Magnoliopsida; Poales; Poaceae. The record is from RNAcentral.
AUGGCAUCCCUGAAGGCCGUGAAGCCAACCGGACUUGAAGGGCAGGCCAAGGAGCCUACCAAGGUUAGUGCCACCAAGGGGCCUGCAAAGCUCAGUGCCACGGCGACCAAGCCAGCAGCCGCCAAGGGCGGCAUCAAGAAGGCUGAGUCAAAGCCACGGGAGCCUAAGAAGAGGGUGAAGAGCUCCAAGCCAGCAGCAGCAAAAAACUGA